UUCAGCGCUCAAAAAAAAAAGUAAAAAAAAAAUAGUUAAAUAAACAGCAGCAAAAAUUUUACGCAAAAAAAUACUUUGCACCUUUGUGCAAAUUAUUUUGUCGUCAAAAAGUUAACCUCAAAAUUCAGACUGCGCCUGUUGAACGUGACUCACUGGCCCAAAACUUCUAUGGCCCUUUUUCGCUCAUAACAUCAUUACUUUGGGCAGAAAACCGAAAAAAAAAUAUAUAUGCUAAAUGCCGGCUACAACAACAACUGUAACGACAUCAGAAGCGAAAAUCCCAAAAAUAAAAUGGAGGAAAGGAAAGAAAUCCAGGAAAGAAACUCCAACGGCAAAGUGGCUACACAGUGCGAAAAGUUCUUUUAGUGAUUCACCAGUGAAAACUUAGUGAACAUGCCCUUUUCCGAUUUUUCCGCCCUUCUGACAUUUACCAUCUUACUGGCGAAAACAGAGAAUAAUAAAGCGAAUCAUAAAGAAAAUCAAAAGAAAAUAGAACCGACUUAACCAAAAAAUACACAGAAAGAUAUUUCUCGGUAUAUGUAUUUUAAUUAGUUUUCUAUAAAUAAAACAUUUUGCAACAAAUGUGAAGAGAAAUCUUCUCUUAAUAAAUGAGCUUUUUGAUUUAUAACAUA
Drosophila sechellia is the source of this 632-nucleotide long non-coding RNA. RefSeq lists it as uncharacterized. Lineage: Eukaryota; Metazoa; Arthropoda; Insecta; Diptera; Drosophilidae. The transcript has 2 exons. The record is from RefSeq and is a predicted model, not a curated record.